RNAcentral lists this unclassified non-coding RNA (305 nucleotides) under plant metagenome. Its description in RNAcentral is "partial contains 5.8S ribosomal RNA, internal transcribed spacer 2, and large subunit ribosomal RNA". The stretch from base 1 to 104 matches the Rfam family "5.8S ribosomal RNA", at positions 51 to 154 of the family's 154-position model. The record is from RNAcentral.
AAAUGCGAUAAGUAAUGUGAAUUGCAGAAUUCAGUGAAUCAUCGAAUCUUUGAACGCACAUUGCGCCCGCCAGUAUUCUGGCGGGCAUGCCUGUCCGAGCGUCAUUUUAACCAUCAAGCCCCCGGGCUUGUGUUGGGGACCUGCGGCUGCCCGCAGGCCCUGAAAACCAGUGGCGGGCUCGCUGUCACACCGAGCGUAGUAGCAAUCACCUCGCUCAGGGCGUGCUGCGGGUUCCGGCCGUUAAACAGCCUUACAAAACCCAAGGUUGACCUCGGAUCAGGUAGGAAGACCCGCUGAACUUAAGC